ACUGUGUUAAAUAGACUUGCGAG
RNAcentral lists this non-coding RNA (23 nucleotides) under Arabidopsis thaliana (thale cress). Lineage: Eukaryota; Viridiplantae; Streptophyta; Magnoliopsida; Brassicales; Brassicaceae. The record is from RNAcentral.